RNAcentral lists this long non-coding RNA (1310 nucleotides) under Homarus americanus (American lobster). Its description in RNAcentral is "uncharacterized LOC121873414". Lineage: Eukaryota; Metazoa; Arthropoda; Malacostraca; Decapoda; Nephropidae. The record is from RNAcentral.
AAACAUGGAGAGGAGAGAACGUUCUGCAGCCCUGUCAGUAACCCUGCACAUAGCACUUUUGCGCCUUAUCGAGCAAAGGCCAGUCGUCGAGGACAGGUCUACUAGUACUGUAACACAAUAAAUGACAGCAAAAGAAAGGCCUAGGAUGAAAUUACUGCCUCAUUAAACACCAGCAACCAAGAUCAACUCCCUCUUACAGCCAAGCACCUCAAGAGGAGCUCCAACAUAAAAAGGAAACUAAAACCAGAGAUAUAGGAGAGCGGGUGGUGGUCCUCCAGAAAAACUAUCAUUAGCUUCAGAAGAAAUCGCCACCCAGUGCUCGUGUCAUGCGGAAGACUUCUGCAAGUGUACCUGAACUUCCUCACUCCCAUGAUUCUCUUGUUUUGCCAGUUCCAACACCAGGGCUAUCAACUGUGUCUUCUGCACCAUCUACUUCUGUUUUUCGACUUCUAAUUUCACCCUCUGUUCCUGCCUCACCAGUCAUUGUGAGAAAAGACAAGGGGAGUUCCACAAAUAUAAAUUGUACACAAUGAAAAGAGAGCAUGAGGAGGAACUGAAAGUGAAGGCCAUAAUAUCAGCACAUACACUCAAAGAAAGAUAAAGUGAAACUGUAAUUAGAGUGAUUGAAAAGACGCUUGAAAAAAUUAAUAAAUCUUUUGAAUUGUUAGAUACAUGUUUAAGGAAAGCAUCAACUGCAUAUGAUGCCAUGGCUAAAACUUAUGAAUGAUGGUUGAGUAAUAACAUACAGUCAUAUGCAAUGUUUAUGAUUUUACUAUAUACAGGGGUACUGUGAUAUAUCGUAAAGUGGCAUCUAGAUUAUAAAUUUAUUUUCUUAUGUCUUACACCUUAAAAUAAUUUUAUUUAAAGGAAAUAAAUCUACAUUUCUUUAUUUUGCCAUUGUUUACAAUUGCUGUCUUAAGUAUGGCAGCUAAGAUUUUUUUUUUUUUAUGAUAUACAGGUAUGCUGUGAUUUUCAAUAAUUGCAAUUCUUUUUACUGUGCUAUAGACUAAAGUUCUUUUUUUUGGGGGGGGUAGAUUUAUAAUACAAGUUGUUAUAUGCAAAGUAAUGGAUAUAGGAGAUUUUUAGUUUAUUAAUUUUUAUGCAUUCAUAUAUAAUUUAAUUUAAGAGAAAAUUUGUCUCCGCAUUUCUAUUUUGUGCAAAUAUUGUACAAAGUAUGGCAGUUCAGAUUUUUUUUAUGUAUAUCUAUAAUAUAAGCUGUGAUAUUAAUGAAAUGCAGAGUCCUGUAUAGAAAAAAUAAUUUUUAUUUUCUUAAUUUUUGCACAUUUAGAAAAAAUAAAUCUAUAUUUCUU